Molecule: ribosomal RNA, 1020 nt
Filed under: Triticum aestivum (bread wheat)
Lineage: Eukaryota; Viridiplantae; Streptophyta; Magnoliopsida; Poales; Poaceae
Description: partial small subunit ribosomal RNA
Source: RNAcentral
AUGGCCUUCUUCUCCCACCACCACCUCCAGCAGCCCCACCCCGCGGCGCCGCCACCGCAGCAGCAGCAGCAGCAGCCGGCGCCUCUCUCCUUCAGGAACGCGCUGCCGGUGCCGGUCGAUGGACAGAUCCCGGCGCCUCUCGCCUUCUUCAACGCGCCGCCCGCUUUCCCGGACCAGGCCGGGCAGCCACAGAUAGUGGACGCGGCGGGGCUGACGGCUGCGGCGGGUAUGGGGUGGAGGCAGCCGAGGGAGCAGGAGCUGCUGGGGGAGAACUCGCAGAUGUCGUCUAUCGAUUUCCUGCAGACGGGCUCGGCGGUGUCGACGGGCCUGGCUCUCUCUCUGGAGGACCGGCGCCAUGGCGGCGGCGGCGCUGGCGCAGGGAACUCCUCGGGCGAUUCGCCGCUGCUCCUGCUGCCGAUGCUGGACGACGACAUCUCCCGUGAGGUCCAGCGCCUAGAUGCUGAUAUGGACCGAUUCAUCAGGGCCCAGAGUGAGCGCAUGAGGCAGUCUAUAUUGGAGAAAGUUCAGGCAAAGCAGUUUGAAGCGCUGGCCUCUGUUGAAGACAAGAUCCUCCGAAAAAUACGCGAUAAAGAGUCAGAAGUGCAGAACAUCAACAAAAGGAACCUGGAACUCGAGGACCAGAUUAAACAAAUGGCAGGGGAAGUUGGUGCGUGGCAGCAACGAGCUAAGUACAACGAGAGCAUGAUCAGCGCACUCAAGUACAACCUGGAGCAGGUAUGUGCCCAUCAGAGCAAGGACUUCAAAGAAGGCUGUGGCGACAGUGAGGUAGACGAUACAGCAUCCUGCUGCAACGGCGGCGCUGUCAAUCUGCAGCUGAUGCCCAAGGAGAACAAUCACCCCAAGGAUUUGACGGCCUGCAGGGUCUGUAAAUCAAGCGAGGCGUGCAUGCUCUUGCUGCCCUGCCGGCAUCUUUGCCUGUGCAAAGAGUGCGAGAGCAAGCUGAGCUUCUGUCCCCUCUGCCAGUCCUCCAAGAUACUUGGCAUGGAGAUAUAUAUGUGA